AUGAGGUGCGCAGGGAGCCUUCUUCUCCUGCUGCUUCUGCUCUCCCUGUCUGCCUCCACCGCCGAAGCAAACAACAAGGAGAGCUUGGGCGACAACGCGGUACCCUUGACCGGCCGGGGAUGGCACCUGAGAGGACGGAGGUCAAUGGCGGCUCGAGGGCAUGGAGGAGCGGGGAGUGAUGAGGCCGUGGGCGCCAGCAACACAGGAGCAAAUGAAGAAGCAGAUCAUACGUCUGCUGAAUUUGUACAUGAUGAGGGUAAACAGAGCAAGGGAUCAGCAGCUCGGCCCGUGCUUCAGGGAGCAAGCGGCCAUCGUCAUCGUCACCAUGGCGGCGACGCGGCCUCCAUGGCGUCCGACAUGCUGAGGAUGGACUACUCCGUCUCCGUGGACGUCCACAGCCGACGGCCCAUCAACAACGACGCUCCGUUGGAUGAGCUCGCGGAGAAGAAGCCUUAG
RNAcentral lists this ribosomal RNA (456 nucleotides) under Triticum aestivum (bread wheat). RNAcentral's name for it is "partial small subunit ribosomal RNA". The record is from RNAcentral. Lineage: Eukaryota; Viridiplantae; Streptophyta; Magnoliopsida; Poales; Poaceae.